This 57-nucleotide transfer RNA is filed under the name Ixodes scapularis (black-legged tick). It matches the Rfam family "tRNA", at positions 9 to 63 of the family's 71-position model. From Rfam's summary of the family: Transfer RNA (tRNA) molecules are approximately 80 nucleotides in length. Their secondary structure includes four short double-helical elements and three loops (D, anti-codon, and T loops). Further hydrogen bonds mediate the characteristic L-shaped molecular structure. tRNAs have two regions of fundamental functional importance: the anti-codon, which is responsible for specific mRNA codon recognition, and the 3' end, to which the tRNAs corresponding amino acid is attached (by aminoacyl-tRNA synthetases). tRNAs cope with the degeneracy of the genetic code in two manners: having more than one tRNA (with a specific anti-codon) for a particular amino acid; and 'wobble' base-pairing, i.e. permitting non-standard base-pairing at the 3rd anti-codon position. Lineage: Eukaryota; Metazoa; Arthropoda; Arachnida; Ixodida; Ixodidae. The record is from Rfam by way of RNAcentral.
GGUUCAGUUGGUAGAGCGCUCCACCUGUAAUGGAGAGGUCCCGGGUUCGAUACCCGG